GUACACAAAACAUGGGACAUGUUCUCAUCUCCUCUCAUCUCUCUUCUGCUGACUCUCUCUCUCUCUCCGAUUAUCUCUCUUUCACUUCCCCACUUCUCCUUCUAUGCCCUCAAACCACUACAACACCCCACCUCCCCACUAUCUCAUUCUCUCCCAAUAUACAUAUCCUUAUAAUUCCGAAAAUUAAAACCACAGUCAUUCCCUUCCAUUUUACUACUUAGUCCAAAGAAAGAAAGAGAGAGAAAUUGAGUUCUCAUCCAUGGAGUUUUUGGAGAGAGAGAGAGAAAAACGGGUUCCUACAUAGCUCCAUACAUCAAAUUCGGAUUUCCAAUCAACCACUACAUCACCAAGCAUCCAUAGCCCACCUUCCAUUCGUUCCGAGGCAGCCCCGGAGUUCUCCGAUUCCGUCGUCUUCUCCAAUCGCUAAAAAUCAACCGGACCCAUUAAUCUCUUUUUUCGGCCGGAUUCGAGGUAAUCAAGAGACCGAAGAACAGAAUCCUCUUCAAGAUGAUCAGUACCAGGGUGAGGACCUCCCAGUUGAGGAAGGGGAGUUUGUCGAGCCUUGGAUGUCUUACCCUUAGAAGCUCUGUUAAUUUAAAGUAUUGUUAUUUGAAUUUUCAAAAGUGUUAUCACAUUUAUCAAACUUUGUUUUAUUUCGUUGGAUUGUAAGACAGUUAAGUAUUUUUGAAUUUAGUAUUUUGAGA
Long non-coding RNA from Rhododendron vialii, 704 nucleotides. RefSeq lists it as uncharacterized. The record is from RefSeq and is a predicted model, not a curated record. The transcript is spliced from 2 exons. Lineage: Eukaryota; Viridiplantae; Streptophyta; Magnoliopsida; Ericales; Ericaceae.